GCUCACAGCAGGAAAGAGGACUUUCAGGAUGCAGACAACCUUUAGCACCUCAGGAAUCACAGCAUGGUCCACUCCUGGCCAAGGGAAGAUGGACAACAGAGAAAGAUGGGCACUUUCUGGAGGCCUGAUGCCUCCAGAAGGAAAGAGAACCCACUCUGACAGCAUCUAGCUGCUGUGAUGGCUCACUUGCCAAAAACAAAAUAAAAGGCCUUUGUG
Molecule: long non-coding RNA, 216 nt
Filed under: Gallus gallus (chicken)
Lineage: Eukaryota; Metazoa; Chordata; Aves; Galliformes; Phasianidae
Source: RNAcentral